Molecule: long non-coding RNA, 633 nt
Organism: Sycon ciliatum
Lineage: Eukaryota; Metazoa; Porifera; Calcarea; Leucosolenida; Sycettidae
Exons: 2
Source: RefSeq, a predicted model, not a curated record
CAAUCGUGCUUGGGACCCAUCCCAAUGUCAUCACAUGGCUGUGGUGACUAGUGUAUACCUGGGAGAGUUUUCCUCAACUGAGAUGGAGUGUAGGUGGAUGGAUUAUGAGAAAUGCGAAGAUCAUGAGUUCAAGGCUAGAUGCACUUCACAUUCGGCGUGCGAUCUCGGCGUCUGGGACCUGAUAACGUCUUGGUUGGAUGGGUAAUCAAGGAUGAUACUACUCGGCACACCAAUGUACAUGUCAAUGUAUUUUUUACUUUUUCAGAGCUGCACUAUUUACGGACGAUUGUGGCUGUUAGAGAGGAAAUAAAUUAAUAGUAUUCACAAACAAGUCCCACUUAUUGUUUCUGUUCGUAAAAGGAAAUUGCAAUUUUUUGGUCAUAUUGUUCGUUCCGGCUGUUUGUCAUUGACUGUUCUUCAGUGUUGUGUUGCUGGAGGCCGUGGCCGAGGCAGGCCCAGAAUGUCAUGGCUUGAUAAUAUUAUUUCAUGGACUGCACUUGACGUGCAGUCCCUGCUCGCUGCUGCACGCGAUCGAUUUUUAUGGCGCUCGCUUGUUCAUACUUGCUCUGUGACGCCCCGACGGCCUUAGGGCUAUGGGCUUGUGAUGACGACUAUUUACGUCUUGAUGCUUAA